Vulpes vulpes (red fox) is the source of this 142-nucleotide small nuclear RNA. Its record names the gene U4. It matches the Rfam family "U4 spliceosomal RNA". Rfam says of the family: U4 small nuclear RNA (U4 snRNA) is a component of the major U2-dependent spliceosome. The structure of U4 snRNA from yeast and human has been reported. U4 snRNA presents a k-turn RNA motif in the 5p-SL related to recognition of Snu13 protein. NCBI's taxonomy places the organism in Eukaryota, Metazoa, Chordata, Mammalia, Carnivora, Canidae. The record is from Ensembl.
AGCUUUGCACAGUGGCAGUAUCGUAGCCAAUGAGGUUUAUCCGAGGUGCGAUUAUUGCUAAGGUGCCGUUACCUUCCUAGGAGCAAAGUUCUAUAUAUACUGCUCCGGGGAUGUGGGAAGCUUCUGCAAAUCUGCUCCAUGA